UACAGAGGGUGCGAGCGUUAAUCGGAAUUAUUGGGCGUAAAGAGCUCGUAGGCGGUUCGUCGCGUCGGCUGUGAAAUCCCGAGGCUCAACCUCGGGUCUGCAGUCGAUACGGGCGGGCUAGGAUUCGGUAGGGGAGACUGGAAUUCCUGGUGUAGCGGUGAAAUGCGCAGAUAUCAGGAGGAACACCGGUGGCGAAGGCGGGUCUCUGGGCCGAUAUCGACGCUGAGGAGCGAAAGCGUGGGGAGCGAACAGG
RNAcentral lists this ribosomal RNA (253 nucleotides) under uncultured bacterium. RNAcentral describes it as "partial 16S ribosomal RNA". It matches the Rfam family "Bacterial small subunit ribosomal RNA", at positions 524 to 776 of the family's 1533-position model. The record is from RNAcentral.